RNAcentral lists this long non-coding RNA (915 nucleotides) under Mytilus galloprovincialis (Mediterranean mussel). Lineage: Eukaryota; Metazoa; Mollusca; Bivalvia; Mytilida; Mytilidae. The record is from RNAcentral.
CGUGUAUAAAUACAAAAAUAAGUAAAAACAUGAUCAAUAAAAACUCUAUAACAAUCAGGUUAAAUUUGAAUCACUAUAAUUUAAAUGACAAAGAAUGAGAGAGAGAAUAUGUUAUUUUAUUCACUUGCAUAUGGAGUACAUAAGACACAGAUCUUCAUAUGACUUAUUUUCGCGUGUUGGAGUACAUCCAAAGACAGAUCUCCAAUAUUUCGCAGGUGGACUUUUGUUCCACAGAAGAGGAUCGGCAUAAUAAUAUUAUUAUUUUUCAUUGUGCAUGCAUCAUAUAAUUUGUGUAUGUAUUAUGUAUUUGUGUUUCAUUUAUUGCAAAAACAAUUCAUAGGAAAAAAGUUAUAUUAAUCACAAUUAAUAAGAUUCAAAAAUUAAAUUCAAAACAAUUAAAAAAAAAAAAUGAAAUCAGGAGAUUUCAAACUUAACAAGGGGGUAAUGUUAUAAAAGGAUUUAGGACACUUUUAGAAAUAAUAAGAAAUUGAAAUAAAAUAGAUCUUAUUUAAACAAAAAUAUAGGUUUAUAGGUUAUUAAGAUAGUUCCAAGUAAAAGAUAAUAUAAAGGUCAAAUGAUUCGUUGAUAUAGGAAAAUAAAGUAAGAAGAAAACAUAUAGGAAAAUAAAGUAAGAAGAAAACACAUAAAGAAGAUAGCGAAUAACAAGCAUUAUCUUAGAUGCAUGAUAAGGAAGAAUAGUACAAGUCAAGAACCUCAUUAGUUAUUUGGCACGCGUUUAGAAGGUUGCUAGGUCGACGGACAGAUGUAUGUCGAAUUGAUAUUACAUCCAAGGUUAUAACCAUAUUCACAGAAGGUGUAGAUACUACAGCAUCAUGAAUAUUCAGUAAUACAUUUAGGCACACGAGAUAGUUAUUAAUACCCAAUCAAAAAGUUUAGAUACGAAGAUUGACGUAC